CAUCGCUCAACGGAUAAAAGGUACUCCGGGGAUAACAGGCUGAUACCGCCCAAGAGUUCAUAUCGACGGCGGUGUUUGGCACCUCGAUGUCGGCUCAUCACAUCCUGGGGCUGAAGUAGGUCCCAAGGGUAUGGCUGUUCGCCAUUUAAAGUGGUACGCGAGCUGGGUUUAGAACGUCGUGAGACAGUUCGGUCCCUAUCUGCCGUGGGCGCUGGAGAACUGAGGGGGGCUGCUCCUAGUACGAGAGGACCGGAGUGGACGCAUCACUGGUGUUCGGGUUGUCAUGCCAAUGGCACUGCCCGGUAGCUAAAUGCGGAAGAGAUAAGUGCUGAAAGCAUCUAAGCACGAAACUUGCCCCGAGAUGAGUUCUCCCUGACUCCUUGAGAGUCCUGAAGGAACGUUGAAGACGACGACGUUGAUAGGCCGGGUGUGUAAGCGCAGCGAUGCGUUGAGCUAACCGGUACUAAUGAACCGUGAGGCUUAACCUU
This 488-nucleotide ribosomal RNA is filed under the name Escherichia coli. Its description in RNAcentral is "partial 23S ribosomal RNA". It matches the Rfam family "Bacterial large subunit ribosomal RNA", at positions 2443 to 2925 of the family's 2925-position model. RNAcentral also lists the same sequence under 1 other name. Lineage: Bacteria; Pseudomonadati; Pseudomonadota; Gammaproteobacteria; Enterobacterales; Enterobacteriaceae. The record is from RNAcentral.